This 253-nucleotide ribosomal RNA is filed under the name uncultured bacterium. Its description in RNAcentral is "partial 16S ribosomal RNA". It matches the Rfam family "Bacterial small subunit ribosomal RNA", at positions 524 to 776 of the family's 1533-position model. The record is from RNAcentral.
UACGUAGGUGGCGAGCGUUGUCCAGAUUUACUGGGCGUAAAGGGAGCGUAGGCGGACUUUUAAGUGAGAUGUGAAAUACUCGGGCUCAACUUGAGUGCUGCAUUUCAAACUGGAAGUCUAGAGUGCAGGAGAGGAGAAUGGAAUUCCUAGUGUAGCGGUGAAAUGCGUAGAGAUUAGGAAGAACACCAGUGGCGAAGGCGAUUCUCUGGACUGUAACUGACGCUGAGGCUCGAAAGCGUGGGGAGCAAACAGG